CCUACGGGCGGCAGCAGUGAGGAAUAUUGGUCAAUGGGCGGGAGCCUGAACCAGCCAAGUCGCGUGAGGGAAGAAGGUCCGAUGGAUUGUAAACCUCUUUAGGCGGGGAGCAAUGCCGGGCAAGCGUGCCCGGAGGGCGAGUACCCGCAGAAUAAGCAUCGGCGAAAUCCGUGGCAGCAGCCGCGGUAAUAAGGAGGAUCCGAGCUUUAUCCGGAUGUAGUGGGUUUAAAGGGAGCGUAGAUGGGGUGUUAAGUCAGUUGUGAAAGUUUGCGGCUAAACCGUAAAAUUGCAAUCGAUACUGGCAGUCUUGAGUACAGUUGCGGUAGGCGGAAUUCGUGGUGUAGCUGUGAAAUGCUUAGAUAUCACGAAGAACUCCGAUUGCGAAGGCAGCUUACUAAACUGCCACUGACAUUGAUGCUCGAAAGUGUGGGUAUCAAACAGGAUUAGAUACCCCAGUAGUC
RNAcentral lists this ribosomal RNA (461 nucleotides) under uncultured bacterium. Its description in RNAcentral is "partial 16S ribosomal RNA". It matches the Rfam family "Bacterial small subunit ribosomal RNA", at positions 338 to 795 of the family's 1533-position model. The record is from RNAcentral.